GCGUCGGUGGUUCAGUGAUAGAAUGCUCGCGUGGCAAGCGAGCGGCUUGAGUUCAACUCCCGGCCGACGCA
This is a non-coding RNA of Ascaris suum (pig roundworm), 71 nucleotides long. The record is from Rfam. NCBI's taxonomy places the organism in Eukaryota, Metazoa, Nematoda, Chromadorea, Rhabditida, Ascarididae.